Molecule: ribosomal RNA, 811 nt
Filed under: Tricharina sp.
Lineage: Eukaryota; Fungi; Ascomycota; Pezizomycetes; Pezizales; Pyronemataceae
Description: partial large subunit ribosomal RNA
Rfam family: Eukaryotic large subunit ribosomal RNA
Source: RNAcentral
GGGAUUGCCUUAGUAACUGCGAGUGAAGCGGCAAAAGCUCAAAUUUGAAAUCGGGGUCCUUCUCGGGCUUCGAGUUGUAAUUUGGAGGGAUAUCUUCGGUACGGACUACAUCGUAAGUUCCUUGGAACAGGACGUCAUAGAGGGUGAGAAUCCCGUGUCUUGGUGUCUGGCCGUGCCAUGUGAAGUGUCUCCGACGAGUCGAGUUGUUUGGGAAUGCAGCUCAAAAUGGGUGGUAAAUUUCAUCUAAAGCUAAAUAUUGGCGAGAGACCGAUAGCGCACAAGUAGAGUGAUCGAAAGAUGAAAAGCACUUUGAAAAGAGAGUUAAAAAGUACGUGAAAUUGUUGAAAGGGAAGCGCUUGCGACCAGACUCGAUCUUUGGUGAUCAGCCGGGCUUCUGUCCGGUGCCCUUGCCAUUGAUUGGGCCAGCAUCGGUUCCGACGGUGGGAUAAAAGGAGGAGGAAUGUGGCUCCCUUCGGGGAGUGUUAUAGCCUCCUUCACAAUGCCACCAGUUGGGACCGAGGACCGCGCUUCGGCUAGGAUGCUGGCGUAAUGGUCUUAAGCGACCCGUCUUGAAACACGGACCAAGGAGUCUAACAUCUAUGCGAGUGUUCGGGUGGAAAACCCUUGCGCGUAAUGAAAGUGAACGGAGGUGUGAACCCUUUACCGGGUGCAACAUCGACCGGUCCUGAUGUCUUCGGAAGGAUCUGAGUAAGAGCAUAGCUGUUGGGACCCGAAAGAUGGUGAACUAUGCCUGAAUAGGGUGAAGCCAGAGGAAACUCUGGUGGAGGCUCGCAGCGGUUCUGACGUGCAA